CCUCCCCCUACCCCCCAGCCUCGCUGGCAUGUUGAACCGACCCAGCCUGUUUAAACGCAAAGGACAGGGAUCCUAGCUGUUCAAUGUAUAAAAAAAAUCAGUUCAGACCCAGAGAGAGGGAGAGAAAGAGAGAGAAAGCGAGCGAGAGAGAGAGAGGGAGGAGGGAGGGAGAGAGAGAGAGAGAGGAGCGUGUGAGUGUAUGUAGGAGAGAGAGUGAGUGAGUGUGAGUGUGUGCAUGUGUGAGUGUGUGUGAGAGAGAGAGGAAGCGAGAGAGAGAGAGAGAGUGAGUGAGGGGGGGUGGUGGUGGGCGCGCAAAAAAGGAAAAAAGAAGAAUUUGGUCUCUAUGUAUAUAAAGAUGGCCACGUUAGCCAACGGACAAGCAGACAAUCCCAGCCUCGGUGGCAACCACACUAACCCCAACCCCAGCAACGGGCACAUGAACGGAUUAAACCACAGUCCAGGGAACGGCACCACCAUCCCCAUGAAGGACCACGAUGCCAUCAAGCUCUUCAUUGGGCAAAUCCCUCGCAACCUGGACGAGAAGGACCUCAAGCCGCUCUUCGAAGAGUUCGGGAAGAUCUACGAACUGACGGUGCUGAAGGACAGGUUCACCGGCAUGCACAAAGGCUGUGCCUUCCUAACAUACUGUGAAAGGGAGUCUGCUCUUAAAGCCCAGAGUGCACUGCAUGAACAGAAGACACUGCCAGGGAUGAACAGACCAAUCCAGGUGAAACCAGCGGACAGCGAGAGCCGAGGAGAAGACAGAAAACUCUUUGUGGGCAUGCUCAACAAACAGCAGUCAGAAGAUGAUGUCCGCAGGCUAUUCGAAGCAUUCGGGAACAUUGAGGAAUGCACGAUCCUUCGGGGACCAGAUGGAAACAGCAAAGGGUGUGCGUUUGUGAAAUAUUCCUCACAUGCGGAAGCCCAGGCAGCCAUUAACGCCUUGCACGGAAGCCAGACAAUGCCGGGAGCUUCAUCGAGCCUGGUGGUCAAGUUUGCAGACACGGACAAGGAGCGUACAAUGCGGCGUAUGCAGCAAAUGGCCGGGCAGAUGGGCAUGUUCAACCCAAUGGCGAUCCAGUUUGGAGCAUAUGGCGCCUACGCACAGGCACUGAUGCAGCAACAGGCAGCCAUCAUGGCAUCCGUGGCUCAAGGAGGAUACCUAAACCCCAUGGCCGCUUUCGCAGCCGCUCAGAUGCAGCAGAUGGCAGCUCUCAACAUGAACGGCCUGGCCGCCACACCCAUGACGCCCACCUCUGGUGGCAGCACGCCUCCAGGCAUCACCGCACCAGCCGUGCCUAGCAUCCCCUCUCCCAUUGGGGUGAACGGUUUCACUGGCCUACCGCCACAGGCUAAUGGGCAACCCGCCGCAGAAGCUGUCUUUGCCAAUGGCAUCCAUCCUUACCCAGCACAGAGUCCCACUGCAGCUGAUCCCUUGCAGCAAGCCUACGCCGGAGUGCAGCAGUAUGCAGGUCCUGCUUACCCUGCUGCCUAUGGCCAGAUAAGCCAAGCCUUCCCACAGCCGCCUCCCAUGAUCCCACAGCAACAGAGAGAAGGACCAGAGGGCUGUAACCUGUUUAUCUACCAUCUGCCCCAGGAGUUUGGGGACGCAGAGCUGAUGCAGAUGUUCCUGCCAUUCGGUAAUGUCAUCUCCUCGAAAGUGUUUGUGGAUCGGGCGACAAACCAAAGUAAAUGCUUUGGCUUUGUGAGUUUUGACAAUCCUGCUAGUGCCCAAGCUGCCAUCCAGGCUAUGAACGGCUUCCAGAUUGGCAUGAAGAGACUGAAGGUGCAGCUGAAAAGGCCAAAGGAUGCUAACCGCCCCUACUGAAGCAUUGUGGGAAACACUGGAUAAGCAAGGUCUAGCACAGAGCCAGUCAAAUCCACCACAGUCUCGGGCUGAGCUAGGAAAAAAGUUCACGUAAUGACAGGAAAGUGGAGAAUACAGUUCCCCAGUCCGGCAUCAGCUGAAUGGGCCACCUUUAGAGAAAUAUAUAUAUAUAUAUUAAAUAAAUAUAUAUAGGAACGAGAACUGUUGGAUUACACCUUUAACAUAUCAGCAAAUUAUCAGUCGAGCUGAAAAAAAACUUCAGACUUACUCUCUUUCUGAUUGUUCAGACUGUCAACAUUUUUCUCCAAGAAAAGUCACAUCGGCUGAGACUUCGAAGGAUACCCGCUUGAGAAAACAGAACAAAACGAAACCCAUAACAACAAAACAAAGAAACAAGCAAACAAGCAAACAAACAAAACGAUUGUGAGAGGAAGCAGAUCGACUAGGAUUUCUGCAAAGAAAUGGAUGUCACCACAGCGGCUUUUCUUCCAAACAGGAAAUGCAAACCUUGAUACUGACAAAGGAGUGCCUGUUUGCCACCUGGGAUGCGGUUGCUGUGGAUACCCCAUGGUACCCAUCACUCAAGCAUCUUUAUCUGUCAUUCCUUAGCUAUAUAGGGACCAAAGGACAUAACUUUUUAUCGCAGACUUGUAGCUGUAUGUAAAUUAAAGAAGUUCUUUCCUUUUUUUUCUCUGAGCUGUUCCUAUAACAGUUUUCGAGAGAGCAAUUAUAUGAAAUAUGUAAAAACUGAAAAAAAAUAUGCUUAAACGCUUUUAAACAAAAAACGGCAAGAUAAUAGUUCUUUGAUACUUGGGGCGGAUCUUUGGUUAUACCUUAAUUAGAGUCUAUGAAACUUUCAUAUGGUUUUCUGUAUAAUAUGUACGGAUGAUGGAGUGGUUCAAAGGGACAGGUUGAGGUGGUUUCGCUGCGGAAAAUGGCGAAAAAGGCAAGUAAAUAAAACUGAACUGGGAAAGGUGGAAAUGAAAGGUAGACAAGAAACAGAAAGGGAAAAAAAAGAAAACAGGUUUGUAAAUGCUUCUGACUCCCCAUAAACUCUCUCCCAUAAAAUCCUAAUAGUUGUACAGAAUUUAAAAGAAGAAAAAAAAGUAAGAAAAAAGUUUUAAAAUACCUAUAUAAUAGGGAAGAAGGGAUUAGAUGACAUUAAAAAAGCAAAAAAAGCAAAAAAAUAUACAUAGACGUUAGCAUUCAUGCUACAAAAACAAAGAUGUUGUAGAACUGUAACUUUUGUAGAGUUUAGAUUGAAAUCCGUUUCCUGCUCUCAGCCAACCGCUGUUGGAAGCUGUGUCUUAUUUUGGGGGAGGGGGGUUCGGGGCGGGAUCGGGGUGGGACGGGUUGGGGAAGGCCACGAAGACGGCGGCUUAACUCGGCAGCUUUUUUAACCGCAAGCAUUCCAGCUAAUAAUCAAUAAAUAAACGAAUUACGCAAACAAGAAACAACUUCUCCAUUUCGUGUAGACCGGCGACGCUGACACGGGAAACACCUAAUGGCUGUCUUCUUACAAACCCCCCAAAAGUGAGGUCAACCUUGAUGAAACAGAAAGUGAAAACUAGAGGGUGGGAGGGGAAGAAAAGGGGGGGAUUGAAAAAGGGAAAACCACAGCUAAGACGCUUUCAUCUUUCCAUAAACUUGUCGUCCGAGACUUUUCCCAUCAUCUUUGGCUUCCGUAGCUUCCAUAUUUUGCUCUAGGAUCCUUCAGGACAAAAGCGGGGUGGGGUGGGAGCAGGGUUUAGCCUAGAACCUUAAUCUUAAAAAAAAAAGAAGACGAAGAAAAGAAAAGAAAAAAACGUGUAAAAAAAUUAAAAACAAGCAAACAAAAAAAAGAAAAAAAUAAUGACAAAAAUGCAAUCUCUUUGAAGAAUUUCUGAAACUGUUUACAAGGAAUUUUGAAAAACAGGGGGAUGUUUAAAAAAAUAAUAAAAGAUGCUGGCUCUGUUUUUCUGUAAAUAAAUUUGCAUAUUUUGUAGGACUUUUAAUUGUAAUGAUAGAGAAAAAAAUCAAGGAAAAACUAUUUAAGGAAAGCACGAUAUUUAUCUUUGGUAAAUGACUUUAGAGCAGUUGAAAAAAGUUGCUUUAAAAUCUGAAUCAGAAAAAAAUAGAAACAAUGAAUUAUUUAAGAACACAUAUAUUUUAAAGUAUAUCAUAUUUAUUAUAAUUUAUUUCCACGGUGUUAAGACUUGAUUUCUAAGGGUGUGUUUUCCCUCCUUAUUCCAUUUUCUUGGAUGAGAAAAAGAAAUAACAUUUCAGAUCAAUGCUUUGUCUUUUGGUUAGUUUUGAGAUUCUUUCUUUCUUUUUAUGAAAAAAGUUACAUUUUUUUCUCCCUGUUGGGCCUGUUUUAAAGUCCUUAUGCUGGCUCAACAGCCCCUGGCCUUCUUUGGUUGUUUAGCUGGGAUAAAGACAGCCGAAAUGAGGCCGUAUCUAGGUGUAUAAAUACCGUCGCAGUUCCAGACAACUGCUCUCUGAUUCUCAAUUCCCUAAAACUCCUUGUAAUCUUCUGUAAUUAUUGAAUGACGCUUACCAGCUUAGCCCUAAAUAAAGCACAGUUUAAAAAAAGA
This is an RNA transcript of Anolis carolinensis (green anole), 4401 nucleotides long. It is a transcript of the gene named CUGBP Elav-like family member 4, with no coding region annotated. The transcript has 14 exons. The record is from RefSeq and is a predicted model, not a curated record. NCBI's taxonomy places the organism in Eukaryota, Metazoa, Chordata, Lepidosauria, Squamata, Anolidae.